ACUAAGGUUUCCAGAGGAAGGCUCGUCCGCUCUGGGUUAGUCGGGUCCUAAGCUGAGGCCGACAGGCGUAGGCGAUGGAUAACAGGUUGAUAUUCCUGUACCACCUAUAAUCGUUUUAAUCGAUGGGGGGACGCAGUAGGAUAGGCGAAGCGUGCGAUUGGAUUGCACGUCUAAGCAGUAAGGCUGAGUAUUAGGCAAAUCCGGUACUCGUUAAGGCUGAGCUGUGAUGGGGAGAAGACAUUGAGUCUUCGAGUCGUUGAUUUCACACUGCCGAGAAAAGCCUCUAGAUAGAAAAUAGGUGCCCGUACCGCAAACCGACACAGGUAGUCAAGAUGAGAAUUCUAAGGUGAGCGAGCGAACUCUCGUUAAGGAACUCGGCAAAAUGACCCCGUAACUUCGGGAGAAGGGGUGCUCUUUAGGGUUAACGCCCAGAAGAGCCGCAGUGAAUAGGCCCAAGCGACUGUUUAUCAAAAACACAGGUCUCUGCUAAACCGUAAGGUGAUGUAUAGGGGCUGACGCCUGCCCGGUGCUGGAAGGUUAAGAGGAGUGGUUAGCUUCUGCGAAGCUACGAAUCGAAGCCCCAGUAAACGGCGGCCGUAACUAUAACGGUCCUAAGGUAGCGAAAUUCCUUGUCGGGUAAGUUCCGACCCGCACGAAAGGCGUAACGAUUUGGGCACUGUCUCAACGAGAGACUCGGUGAAAUCAUAGUACCUGUGAAGAUGCAGGUUACCCGCGACAGGACGGAAAGACCCCGUGGAGCUUUACUGUAGCCUGAUAUUGAAAUUCGGCACAGCUUGUACAGGAUAGGUAGGAGCCUUUGAAACGUGAGCGCUAGCUUACGUGGAGGCGCUGGUGGGAUACUACCCUAGCUGUGUUGGCUUUCUAACCCGCACCACUUAUCGUGGUGGGAGACAGUGUCAGGCGGGCAGUUUGACUGGGGCGGUCGCCUCCUAAAAGGUAACGGAGGCGCUCAAAGGUUCCCUCAGAAUGGUUGGAAAUCAUUCAUAGAGUGUAAAGGCAUAAGGGAGCUUGACUGCGAGACCUACAAGUCGAGCAGGGUCGAAAGACGGACUUAGUGAUCCGGUGGUUCCGCAUGGAAGGGCCAUCGCUCAACGGAUAAAAGCUACCCCGGGGAUAACAGGCUUAUCUCCCCCAAGAGUUCACAUCGACGGGGAGGUUUGGCACCUCGAUGUCGGCUCAUCGCAUCCUGGGGCUGUAGUCGGUCCCAAGGGUUGGGCUGUUCGCCCAUUAAAGCGGUACGCGAGCUGGGUUCAGAACGUCGUGAGACAGUUCGGUCCCUAUCCGUCGUGGGCGUAGGAAAUUUGAGAGGAGCUGUCCU
RNAcentral lists this ribosomal RNA (1339 nucleotides) under Staphylococcus aureus. RNAcentral's name for it is "partial 23S ribosomal RNA". It matches the Rfam family "Bacterial large subunit ribosomal RNA", at positions 1344 to 2678 of the family's 2925-position model. Lineage: Bacteria; Bacillati; Bacillota; Bacilli; Caryophanales; Staphylococcaceae. The record is from RNAcentral.